CUGAAGCUCAGAGGGCUCUGAUU
This 23-nucleotide non-coding RNA is filed under the name Dasypus novemcinctus (nine-banded armadillo). Its record names the gene dno-miR-127-5p. RNAcentral also lists the same sequence under 15 other names. Lineage: Eukaryota; Metazoa; Chordata; Mammalia; Cingulata; Dasypodidae. The record is from miRBase by way of RNAcentral.